RNAcentral lists this ribosomal RNA (492 nucleotides) under uncultured bacterium. Its description in RNAcentral is "partial 16S ribosomal RNA". It matches the Rfam family "Bacterial small subunit ribosomal RNA", at positions 28 to 507 of the family's 1533-position model. The record is from RNAcentral.
GAUGAACGCUCGCUCCAGGCUUAACACAUGCAAGUCGAGGGGAAACGACAUCGAAAGCUUGCUUUUGAUGGGCGUCGACCGGCGCACGGGUGAGUAACGCGUAUCCAACCUGCCCAUCACUUGGGAAUAACCUUGCGAAAGUAAGACUAAUACCCAAUGACAUCCCACGAAGACAUCUGAAUGGGAUUAAAGAUUUAUCGGUGAUGGAUGGGGAUGCGUCUGAUUAGCUUGUUGGCGGGGUAACGGCCCACCAAGGCAACGAUCAGUAGGGGUUCUGAGAGGAAGGUCCCCGACAUUGGAACUGAGACACGGUCCAAACUCCUACGGGAGGUAGCAGUGAGGAAGAGUGGUCAAUGGGCGAGAGCCUGAACCAGCCAAGUAGCGUGCAGGAUGACGGCCCUAUGGGUGGUAAACUGCUUUUAUAAGGGAAUAAAGUGGGUCUCGGGAGACUUUUUGCAUGUACCUUAUGAAUAAGGACCGGCUAAUUCCGUG